UACGAAGGGGGCUAGCGUUGUUCGGAAUUACUGGGCGUAAAGCGCACGUAGGCGGAUUUGUAAGUCAGGGGUGAAAUCCCGGGGCUCAACCUCGGAACUGCCUUUGAUACUGCAAGUCUUGAGUCCGGAAGAGGUGAGUGGAAUUCCUAGUGUAGAGGUGAAAUUCGUAGAUAUUAGGAAGAACACCAGUGGCGAAGGCGGCUCACUGGUCCGGUACUGACGCUGAGGUGCGAAGGCGUGGGGAGCAAACAGG
RNAcentral lists this ribosomal RNA (253 nucleotides) under uncultured bacterium. RNAcentral describes it as "partial 16S ribosomal RNA". It matches the Rfam family "Bacterial small subunit ribosomal RNA", at positions 524 to 776 of the family's 1533-position model. The record is from RNAcentral.